This 253-nucleotide ribosomal RNA is filed under the name uncultured bacterium. Its description in RNAcentral is "partial 16S ribosomal RNA". It matches the Rfam family "Bacterial small subunit ribosomal RNA", at positions 524 to 776 of the family's 1533-position model. The record is from RNAcentral.
UACGUAGGUGACCAGCGUUGUCCGGAUUUACUGGGCGUAAAGAGUGUGUAGGCGGUGUUCUAAGUCUGGUGUGAAAUCUCCCGGCUCAACUGGGAGGGUGCGCUAGAAACUGGAAUGCUAGAGGAUGGGAGAGGUAAGCGGAAUUCCUGGUGUAGCGGUGAAAUGCGUAGAUAUCAGGAGGAACACCUGUGGUGUAGACAGCUUACUGGACCAUUUCUGACGCUGAGACACGAAAGCGUGGGUAGCAAACAGG